Molecule: ribosomal RNA, 442 nt
Filed under: uncultured bacterium
Lineage: Bacteria
Description: partial 16S ribosomal RNA
Rfam family: Bacterial small subunit ribosomal RNA
Source: RNAcentral
CCUACGGGCGGCAGCAGUGGGGAAUAUUGGGCAAUGUGCGCAAGCCUGACCCAGCAACGCCGCGUGAAGGAAGAAGGCUUUCGGGUUGUAAACUUCUGUUGUCAGGGAAGAGUAGAAGACGGUACCUUACGAAUACGCCACGACUAACUACGUGCCAGCAGCCGCGGGAAUCCGUAGGUGGCAAGCGUUGUCCGGAUUUACUGGGUGUAAAGGGCGUGUAGCAGGGUUAACAAGUCAGAUGUGAAAUCCUUCGGCUUAACCGCAGAACUGCAUUUGAAACUGUUGAUCUUGAGUACUGGAGAGGCAGACGGAAUUCCUAGUGUAGCGGUGAAAUGCGUAGAUAUAAGGAGGAACACCAGUGGCGAAGGCGGUCUGCUGGACAGCAACUGACGGUGAGGCGCGAAAGCGUGGGGAGCAAACAGGAUUAGAUACCCAAGUAGUC